AGGAGUCGCAAGAAGACAGAAAGUGCCUCCAGUGCUCCUGAGCACAAUGUGCUCGUGAUGCCAGAGAGGGAGCAAGAACCAGACUGGAAAACAGGAGAUCGUAACGUCAGUGGAAACGUCAGUGGAAACCGCAACAGGAACCGCUGCUGCAGCAGCAGCAAGUCGGAAGCACCAAAGCCUGGACAGAGUGUUGAGAGCCCCUUCAAACAGAACGCAGGUCUGUGUCCUGC
Long non-coding RNA from Monopterus albus (swamp eel), 230 nucleotides. RefSeq lists it as uncharacterized. NCBI's taxonomy places the organism in Eukaryota, Metazoa, Chordata, Actinopteri, Synbranchiformes, Synbranchidae. The transcript has 3 exons. The record is from RefSeq and is a predicted model, not a curated record.